This 548-nucleotide ribosomal RNA is filed under the name uncultured Glomus. Its description in RNAcentral is "SSU rRNA". It matches the Rfam family "Eukaryotic small subunit ribosomal RNA", at positions 548 to 1099 of the family's 1831-position model. The record is from RNAcentral. Lineage: Eukaryota; Fungi; Glomeromycota; Glomeromycetes; Glomerales; Glomeraceae.
UUGGAGGGCAAGUCUGGUGCCAGCAGCCGCGGUAAUUCCAGCUCCAAUAGCGUAUAUUAAAGUUGUUGCAGUUAAAAAGCUCGUAGUUGAAUUUCGGGAUCAGUACGCUGGUCGUGCCUUCGGUAUGAACUGGUGUCACUGGUUCCUCCCUUCUGAAGAACCGUCAUGCCAUUCAGUUGGUGUGGCGGGAAAUCAGGACUGUUACUUUGAAAAAAUUAGAGUGUUUAAAGCAGGCUCGCGCUUGAAUACAUUAGCAUGGAAUAAUGAAAUAGGACGUUUGACCCUAUUUUGUUGGUUUCUAGGAUCGACGUAAUGAUUAAUAGGGAUAGUUGGGGGCAUUAGUAUUCAAUUGUCAGAGGUGAAAUUCUUGGAUUUAUUGAAGACUAACUACUGCGAAAGCAUUUGCCAAGGAUGUUUUCAUUAAUCAGGAACGAAAGUUAGGGGAUCGAAGACGAUCAGAUACCGUCGUAGUCUUAACCAUAAACUAUGCCGACUAGGGAUCGGAUGAUGUUAUUUUUAAUGACUCAUUCGGCGCCUUACGGGAAACA